RNAcentral lists this non-coding RNA (541 nucleotides) under Pan troglodytes (chimpanzee). The record is from RNAcentral. RNAcentral also lists the same sequence under 2 other names. Lineage: Eukaryota; Metazoa; Chordata; Mammalia; Primates; Hominidae.
CUGUGUCCUCGAAUGACCACAAUCAGGUUUUCUUCUUGAUCCUUCAGUGAGCCAAGGAGCAGCAUAUAGUCCAGAGGGUCAGCCCAUGGGGAGCUUUGUGUUGGAUGGUCAGCAACACAUGGGGAUCCGGCCUGCAGGUUUGCAGAGCAUGCCAGGGGACUACGUUUCUCAGGGUGGUCCUAUGGGAAUGAGUAUGGCACAGCCAAGUUACACUCCUCCCCAGAUGACCCCACACCCUACUCAAUUAAGACAUGGACCCCCAAUGCAUUCAUAUUUGCCAAGCCAUCCCCACCACCCAGCCAUGAUGAUGCACGGAGGACCCCCUACCCACCCUGGAAUGACUAUGUCAGCACAGAGCCCCACAAUGUUAAAUUCUGUAGAUCCCAAUGUUGGCGGACAGGUUAUGGACAUUCAUGCCCAAUAGUAUAAGGGAACUCAAGGGAAAAGGAAACACACGCAAAAACUAUUUUAAGACUUUCUGAACUUUGACCAGAUGUUGACACUUAAUAUGAAAUUCCAGACAGCUGUGAUUAUUUUUUAC